This is a non-coding RNA of Acanthosepion pharaonis, 109 nucleotides long. Lineage: Eukaryota; Metazoa; Mollusca; Cephalopoda; Sepiida; Sepiidae. The record is from the annotation of a GenBank genome assembly.
UAUGGUCAUAUCAUGCUGAAAUACCAGUUCUCAUGAUUACUGAAGUUAAGCAACAGUGAGCCUGGUCAGUACCUAGAUGGGUGACCACUUAGAAAUAACAGGUGCUGGA